Empidonax traillii (willow flycatcher) is the source of this 232-nucleotide long non-coding RNA. RefSeq lists it as uncharacterized. The transcript is spliced from 2 exons. The record is from RefSeq and is a predicted model, not a curated record. NCBI's taxonomy places the organism in Eukaryota, Metazoa, Chordata, Aves, Passeriformes, Tyrannidae.
CAAAAACUACAAGAGGUCAAUCAGUUUUUGCAAGCACAGACAGCCUACCACGACACAUUAGAAGAAAUCAGAAGCAGUCAUUUUGACUCCCUGAAAAAACAGUUAGACGACAGAACUAGAGAUCUUGAAUGUGCACUGGGAAGGACAAAAAGCAACCAACAAGAAAGACCUUUUCAAAAAGAAUCCAGACAGCCAGCAGUGGACAAGUACAAAGAGCUGUACCUGCAGGAAG